RNAcentral lists this ribosomal RNA (252 nucleotides) under uncultured Allobaculum sp. RNAcentral's name for it is "partial 16S ribosomal RNA". It matches the Rfam family "Bacterial small subunit ribosomal RNA", at positions 524 to 776 of the family's 1533-position model. The record is from RNAcentral. Lineage: Bacteria; Bacillati; Bacillota; Erysipelotrichia; Erysipelotrichales; Erysipelotrichaceae.
UACGUAGGUGGCGAGCGUUAUCCGGAAUGAUUGGGCGUAAAGGGUGCGUAGGCGGCCUGCUAAGUCUGGAGUGAAAGGUACCGGCUCAACCGGUACAGGCUCUGGAAACUGGCGGGCUAGAGAGCAGGAGAGGGCGGUGGAACUCCAUGUGUAGCGGUGGAAUGCGUAGAUAUUAGGAGGAACACCAGAGGCGAAGGCGGCUAACUGGACUGUAACUGACGCUGAGGCACGAAAGUGUGGGGAGCAAACAGG